Molecule: long non-coding RNA, 356 nt
Filed under: Linum usitatissimum (flax)
Lineage: Eukaryota; Viridiplantae; Streptophyta; Magnoliopsida; Malpighiales; Linaceae
Description: long non-coding RNA (LUSI_LNC001241)
Source: RNAcentral
UGCCGGCAACAUGCUAUUUAGAUUAUCUUCAUGAGAUGAUCUUGGAUUUGGUUCUCGCACUCCUAUAAGGAUAAAUUGUAAAGAUGCGUUAUUUUGCAUAGAACUCGAAUCUAUACAAAUCUAUUUAAAGUACCAGACGAGUCAUACAACUAAGCUCAAGAAAAAUCAAGUUAGAAGCCAGAGAACUCUUACCGGUUUCUUCUAUUAUUGGGUCGUCGACCUUCUUUUCUUCAUCAUUAUGAGCCAUAACCAGACCAUUGCCGCACUCAUUAUUAGGUCUAGCAGAUUCCUCAGCCGGCUGCUCUGACGAGUUGUCAACCUUCACUUCUCCUGCUGGGGACCCGACUUCGGAUUCC